GGAUGUGAGGCGGACUGGGCAGCUAUGGGGCGACCUCGUCCUCCCACACACAUCUUCCGUGGCUGCUCAUUCUGCCAAAGAGGAUGACAGUCCCAAAUAAGAAGAAAGGCUCUCUGGUCAUGCAUAGUCAAGGAGCUAUGUUCUCCUGCUGGACCCCCAAACCACAUGUAAUUCGUGUGAGGUGUUUUGGGUAGGUAGGGGGGAGUUUUAGCUGGAAGCAAGGAAUGUCAGACUGAAAAGCAGCACUUU
Unclassified non-coding RNA from Ursus americanus (American black bear), 249 nucleotides. Its record names the gene 7SK. It matches the Rfam family "7SK RNA". Rfam says of the family: 7SK was discovered as an abundant small nuclear RNA in the mid-70s but a possible function has only recently been suggested. Two independent studies have found that 7SK RNA binds the CDK9/cyclin T complex (known as elongation factor P-TEFb). Lineage: Eukaryota; Metazoa; Chordata; Mammalia; Carnivora; Ursidae. The record is from Ensembl.